RNAcentral lists this ribosomal RNA (822 nucleotides) under Triticum aestivum (bread wheat). RNAcentral describes it as "partial small subunit ribosomal RNA". The record is from RNAcentral. Lineage: Eukaryota; Viridiplantae; Streptophyta; Magnoliopsida; Poales; Poaceae.
UUGGAAGGAGUGUAGGGUAAGCUCAAGAACUUGCAACUCUCUGAAGCUGAAAAGAAGGGAAUCCGGGUCGGCAAGAAGCAGGCAUGCUCCUCGCAGGUGAGUAAAUUUCAGGCUGUGGGUAAGCUUCUUUCAGAGAAGAUGGCUAGAUCAGAACAUGUAGGAAGAUCCUUGGGGGGAGCUUGGAACACAUAUUUGGGGGUAGACUGCAAAGAUCUUGGCAGGAAUCGAUUUCUUUUUACCUUCCAUCAAAAGGCUGAUAAGGAAAAGGCAUUAGAUGCUGGACCUUGGAGGUUUAAUAACGAUCUGUUGGUGAUGGAAGAUUUUGUGCCCAGUAGAACCAUAGAUGAAUACAGUUUCAGAACAACACCAAUUUGGAUUAGAGCCUAUGGUAUCCCAAUUGGAAUAAUGAGCAAGGAAACCGGAAGACUGAUAGGAGAACAAAUAGGGGAGGUUAUGGAGGUGGAUUCAGAAGUAAAUGGGGACUCAAUGGGAGUAUUCAUGCGAAUUAAAGUGAAAAUAGACAUCACAGUUCCAAUUAUGAGAUUUAUAACAUUCUUUAUUGAAGACGAAGAGGAGCAGGAACAGGCUAAUGAAAUGACACUUGAGAGAGUUGAGGAAGAUGAUGACAAGGGGGAAGAGAAAGAAGAAAAGAAGAGGAAGAUUAUCUCCAUUACAUAUGAAUACCUUCCCGACUUCUGCUAUAGUUGUGGCAUAAUUGGACAUACAGAGAAAUCAUGUCCAACCAGAUCUAGAAGAACAGGAUCCAGGCAGUUCGGGCCAUGGCUGCGGGCAACUAUGUAUAAGGGGGGCUCUAGUGAAUAA